GCUCAAUGAUUUUUUAAAUUGCUGUAGUAUUUUGACUAUACAAAGGUAUUGAAAUAAGGUUUUAAUUGAAUGCUAAAAGAAUGGAAUAUCAAAGAAUAACUUUCUUAAAAUUAAAAAUUGAAAUUUUUUUAAUUUGUGUAAAAACAAUUAUAUAAAUUAAAGACAAGAAGACCCUAAGAAUUUUUAAAAUUUAAAUUAACACAUUUUUGUUUUAAUUAAAUUUUAACUGGGGCGGUUAAAAAAUAUUAAAAACUUUUUAAUUUUGAAAAUGACCCAUUAUUAAUGAAAAUAUGAUAAAAUACUCUAGGGAUAACAGCGUUAUAUUUUUUGAUAGAUCAUAUUGACAAAAAAGUUUGCGACCUCGAUGUUGGAUUAGGAUACUUUUUUAAUGAAGAUAUUAAAAUCAGAAGUUUGUUCAACUUUUAAAUUCCUACUUGAUCUGAGUUCAGACCGG
Molecule: ribosomal RNA, 454 nt
Filed under: Rhipicephalus microplus (southern cattle tick)
Lineage: Eukaryota; Metazoa; Arthropoda; Arachnida; Ixodida; Ixodidae
Description: partial 16S ribosomal RNA
Rfam family: Bacterial large subunit ribosomal RNA (bases 309-454)
Source: RNAcentral